This 419-nucleotide ribosomal RNA is filed under the name uncultured Prevotella sp. RNAcentral's name for it is "bacterial SSU rRNA". It matches the Rfam family "Bacterial small subunit ribosomal RNA", at positions 358 to 774 of the family's 1533-position model. The record is from RNAcentral. Lineage: Bacteria; Pseudomonadati; Bacteroidota; Bacteroidia; Bacteroidales; Prevotellaceae.
GGAAUAUUGGUCAAUGGGCGUGAGCCUGAACCAGCCAAGUAGCGUGCAGGAUGACGGCCCUAUGGGUUGUAAACUGCUUUUAUGCGGGGAUAAAGUGAGGGACGUGUCCCUUUUUGUAGGUACCGCAUGAAUAAGGACCGGCUAAUUCCGUGCCAGCAGCCGCGGUAAUACGGAAGGUCCGGGCGUUAUCCGGAUUUAUUGGGUUUAAAGGGAGCGCAGGCCGAUGGUUAAGCGUGACGUGAAAUGUAGCCGCUCAACGGCUGAACUGCGUCGCGAACUGGUUUUCUUGAGUGAGUACGACGUCAGCGGAAUUUGUGGUGUAGCGGUGAAAUGCUUAGAUAUCACGACGAACCCCGAUUGCGAAGGCAGCUGACGAGUCCUUAGCUGACGCUAAAGCUCGAACGUGCGGGUAUCGAACA